RNAcentral lists this ribosomal RNA (664 nucleotides) under Vibrio harveyi. Its description in RNAcentral is "bacterial SSU rRNA". It matches the Rfam family "Bacterial small subunit ribosomal RNA", at positions 8 to 651 of the family's 1533-position model. The record is from RNAcentral. Lineage: Bacteria; Pseudomonadati; Pseudomonadota; Gammaproteobacteria; Vibrionales; Vibrionaceae.
AGAGUUUGAUCAUGGCUCAGAUUGAACGCUGGCGGCAGGCCUAACACAUGCAAGUCGAGCGGAAACGAGUUAUCUGAACCUUCGGGGAACGAUAACGGCGUCGAGCGGCGGACGGGUGAGUAAUGCCUAGGAAAUUGCCCUGAUGUGGGGGAUAACCAUUGGAAACGAUGGCUAAUACCGCAUAAUACCUACGGGUCAAAGAGGGGGACCUUCGGGCCUCUCGCGUCAGGAUAUGCCUAGGUGGGAUUAGCUAGUUGGUGAGGUAAGGGCUCACCAAGGCGACGAUCCCUAGCUGGUCUGAGAGGAUGAUCAGCCACACUGGAACUGAGACACGGUCCAGACUCCUACGGGAGGCAGCAGUGGGGAAUAUUGCACAAUGGGCGCAAGCCUGAUGCAGCCAUGCCGCGUGUGUGAAGAAGGCCUUCGGGUUGUAAAGCACUUUCAGUCGUGAGGAAGGUAGUGUAGUUAAUAGCUGCAUUAUUUGACGUUAGCGACAGAAGAAGCACCGGCUAACUCCGUGCCAGCAGCCGCGGUAAUACGGAGGGUGCGAGCGUUAAUCGGAAUUACUGGGCGUAAAGCGCAUGCAGGUGGUUUGUUAACUCAGAUGUGAAAGCCCGGGGCUCAACCUCGGAAUAGCAUUUGAAACUGGCAGACUAGAGUACUG